This 563-nucleotide ribosomal RNA is filed under the name uncultured bacterium. RNAcentral describes it as "bacterial SSU rRNA". It matches the Rfam family "Bacterial small subunit ribosomal RNA", at positions 338 to 916 of the family's 1533-position model. The record is from RNAcentral.
CCUACGGGAGGCAGCAGUGAGGAAUUUUCCGCAAUGGGCGAAAGCCUGACGGAGCAAUACCGCGUGAGGGAGGAAGGUUUUUGGAUUGUAAACCUCUUUUCUUAGGGAAGAAUUUUGACGGUACCUGAGGAAUAAGCAUCGGCUAACUCCGUGCCAGCAGCCGCGGUAAUACGGGGGAUGCAAGCGUUAUCCGGAAUUAUUGGGCGUAAAGAGUCCGUAGGUGGUCAUGCAAGUCUGCUGUCAAAGCCCACAGCUUAACUGUGGAUAGGCGGUGGAAACUGCAUGACUUGAGUACGGUAGGGGUAGAGGGAAUUCCCAGUGUAGCGGUGAAAUGCGUAGAUAUUGGGAAGAACACCGGUGGCGAAAGCGCUCUACUGGACCGUAACUGACACUGAGGGACGAAAGCCAAGGUAGCGAAAGGGAUUAGAUACCCCUGUAGUCUUGGCCGUAAGCGAUGGAUACUAGGCGUUGUCUGUAUCGACCCGGACAGUGCCGAAGCUAACGCGUUAAGUAUCCCGCCUGGGGAGUACGCACGCAAGUGUGAAACUCAAAGGAAUUGACGG